This 839-nucleotide ribosomal RNA is filed under the name uncultured archaeon. RNAcentral's name for it is "bacterial SSU rRNA". It matches the Rfam family "Archaeal small subunit ribosomal RNA", at positions 21 to 859 of the family's 1478-position model. The record is from RNAcentral.
AGGUUACUGCUAUCGGUGUUCGCCUAAGCCAUGCGAGUCAUAUGUUCUUCGUGAACAUGGCGUACUGCUCAGUAACACGUGGAUAACCUGCCCUUGGGUCCGGCAUAACCCCGGGAAACUGGGGAUAAUUCCGGAUAACGCACAUAUGCUGGAAUGCUUUAUGCGUCAAAUGGAUUCGUCCGCCCAAGGAUGGGUCUGCGGCCUAUCAGGUAGUAGUGGGUGUAAUGUACCUACUAGCCUACGACGGGUACGGGUUGUGAGAGCAAGAGCCCGGAGAUGGAUUCUGAGACAUGAAUCCAGGCCCUACGGGGCGCAGCAGGCGCGAAAACUUUACAAUGCGGGAAACCGUGAUAAGGGGACACCGAGUGCCAGCAUCAUAUGCUGGCUGUCCGGGUGUGUAAAAUACACCUGUUAGCAAGGGCCGGGCAAGACCGGUGCCAGCCGCCGCGGUAACACCGGCGGCCCGAGUGGUGAUCGUGAUUAUUGGGUCUAAAGGGUCCGUAGCCGGUUUGGUCAGUCCUCCGGGAAAUCUGACGGCUUAACCGUUAGGCUUUCGGGGGAUACUGCCAGACUUGGAACCGGGAGAGGUAAGAGGUACUACAGGGGUAGGAGUGAAAUCUUGUAAUCCCUGUGGGACCACCUGUGGCGAAGGCGUCUUACCAGAACGGGUUCGACGGUGAGGGACGAAAGCUGGGGGCACGAACCGGAUUAGAUACCCGGGUAGUCCCAGCCGUAAACGAUGCUCGCUAAGUGUCAGGCAUGGCGCGACCGUGUCUGGUGCCGCAGGGAAGCCGUGAAGCGAGCCACCUGGGAAGUACGGCCGCAAGGCUGAAACUUAA